Molecule: non-coding RNA, 30 nt
Filed under: Rattus norvegicus (Norway rat)
Lineage: Eukaryota; Metazoa; Chordata; Mammalia; Rodentia; Muridae
Source: RNAcentral
UUGCUCUUGAUAUUCGCUUUUAUCAGGAUC